Long non-coding RNA from Triticum urartu, 2107 nucleotides. RefSeq lists it as uncharacterized. The record is from RefSeq and is a predicted model, not a curated record. NCBI's taxonomy places the organism in Eukaryota, Viridiplantae, Streptophyta, Magnoliopsida, Poales, Poaceae.
UUGAGAAGAAGAGAUGGAAGGUGGAGGUGGGAACAUGACGCUAGGAGGAUAAGGCGUGGGCGUCACAAGAAGUGGGUUGGAGCAAGAAGUAGAGCAGGCAAUGCCCCUCUCUACAUUGGCAUCUACACAGCCAAAUCAAGGACUUAAACUCCUGGAACGGCUCCUCCUAUCCCCUGCUCCUCUCGGAUUGGCGCAAGUCCGCCUCCUCCCCCGCCUCCCUCUCCACGCGUGCAGCAGCGACCUAGGAGGAGCUCGAGCCGCAGUGGUGGUCCAUGGCACCUUCGUCGUCGUCCCCGGCUGGAGAAGCAUGGGCCGCAGAGACGGCCGGAUCUGUCCGGCCCUCGCGCUAUCGUUCGUUCACUCUCAAGGAUAAUGUGUUUGUUCAGCUGAUUUGUAUAGUUCCAAUACCGGGUUGUUAAGGAAAAUCCAGAUGAUGCAUUCUACGAGUUGGAGACCCCCCAACAGCAAAUUCAGUCAGACGUCUUUGAUGGACUUAAGAGAGAUGCUGAUACUAUGAGGUGAAAUGCUCAUUUACUUAAGAGAAACGUUCACAAGGAUGACUGACCGUGUGCGGCACUGACCUCGAUGGCGUGCCGCAUCAUUUCUGCCCGACCUCAAUGUUUACCUCGUCACCCACGGCCAGAUGGUCGAAGACAUCCCGACGAAGCAGCACAUGCUUGUCCCUUCUUUCGUUGGCGGCGGGAGAAAGAGGAUCCACCCGCUCCCUUAUGCUGAUUCGAGCCUUCCUUGUGAGUUGGCUCCAAUUUUUUGCUCUUUUGUAUGUGGGUGUACAUACCCGAGGUGAGAAAAUAAGUUCAGAUUACACUAAGGUGGAUCUCUCGAUUAAUAUGCAACUUUUUUAUGAAUAAAAGUUCUGAUAUUGUAGUAAGCUUAUGUGUGAUUUAGUAUAGAAUUAUGCUUUCAAGGUUGUACUAAUAGAUGACCUUCGCCAUUCUCUAAUUUUCCCUAGCAUGGAUUGCCUACUCUACAAGAUAAAGUGUCGGUUUAUGAGGAUAUUUUCCAAAAAGAGUUGUUAGGGUAUGAUGUACUCGAUUGAUCUAUGAGAUGACCUGCUUGGUGGUGAAGGUUUUUUACAUCUGCUGAGGGAGUUUCCAUGUUGCUGAGGAUGGUCCACUUCUUUGCUUAGAAUUCCAAAUUCAAAUCUCGCCGGCGCCGGCUAGAUGGAUCGUGCUGUUCUUGAGCCCACUCUUCUCAUACCAUCGGACAUCAACUGCCGCCACUCGCACUUGUCGUGCUGCCUCUUGAUGAGAUGAACACUCCUAUAUCUGCAUUCAAAGGAAAAGGGCACACCCAGCAAAUCACCAUGCCCAAAAUGUGCUCGCCGCAAACUUUUUACUGAGCCCUCAAAGCCUAAGGACACUGAACUCUCUGCCUCUGCUGCCAAGGUGGCUAGCCAGGCUGAACAAGGUGCUCCUGGUGGAAAUGUUGUUGAAGCUACAUCUGUGCCAAAUGUCAGUCAAGAAACUGAGCUUAUAGCUACUGAAGAUCCAAAGAACAACCUUCCUGACCACACUAAUUUCAAGAGGACAAACACUGCUGUCAAGCCAGCUGGCGCUCCAAAGAAAGCGAAGCAGUAGUUCUUCCAUGGACUAGGCUAGAUAUGUACAUACGGUGCAACUGGCGCUUCUUGAGUUCCAUUUUUCCUACAGGCAUGCCAGAUGAUAUGUCGCAAUAUGAUGAUAACUCUGAAUCCUCUUCUUUCUCAGGAUAUCUUCUAUGUUCUGCUUGCUUAUCAAGCGAAAUUCACCGUUAGAAGGGUGUUUUGCCGAAAAGAGCUUCUCAGCUCUGCUGCGUCACAGCAACGGUCUGGCCAUCGGGUCUGAAGAUCGUCAACUCAGCACACUUUUGGGCGUGCACCAGGUUUAUUUUGUGCAACUUUGUAAGACAAGGCUUUGACACUCGCAUAACUAUGUCGAGCCACUGUCAUGAUAAUUCCUCUAUUUAGGUCCUCGAACAAAUCAAGUACUAUGCGUUGUAAAUAUCACCAUCGGCCCUUUCUGACUUAUCUCCCUCCUUAUGACAAUUUCAACCUUCUGUAAAUGCCGCUGGGCCAUGCUGCUUAAUCUAAGUCUUUUCGUUCUUGUUA